GACGUAGGGCGCGAGCGUUGUCCGGAUUUAUUGGGCGUAAAGAGCUCGUAGGCGGCUUGUUGCGUCGACUGUGAAAACCCGCGGCUUAACUGCGGGCUUGCAGUUGAUACGGGCAGGCUAGAGUUCGGUAGGGGAGACUGGAAUUCCAGGUGUAGCGGUGAAAUGCGUAGAUAUCUGGAGGAACACCGGUGGCGAAGGCGGCAUCCUGGACCGGUAUUGACGCUGAGGCGCGAAAGCCAGGGGAGCAAACGGG
Molecule: ribosomal RNA, 253 nt
Filed under: uncultured bacterium
Lineage: Bacteria
Description: partial 16S ribosomal RNA
Rfam family: Bacterial small subunit ribosomal RNA
Source: RNAcentral